Hirundo rustica (Barn swallow) is the source of this 628-nucleotide long non-coding RNA. RefSeq lists it as uncharacterized. The transcript has 5 exons. NCBI's taxonomy places the organism in Eukaryota, Metazoa, Chordata, Aves, Passeriformes, Hirundinidae. The record is from RefSeq and is a predicted model, not a curated record.
UCCCCAGAAGGAAAGCCCCAGCAUACUAAGGAGGAAUUGCUCAAGACUUUCAGAAUAAAACCGCGGAAACAUUAAACACGUGCAAAUUCAUUCCAUGUCCUGAACUCCUGGAGUCUCAGAGCAGACACAAAUUAGCAUAACAUUUCUGAGCAGAAGAAUAUUUGUCCUACAUCUGGCCACCCUUGAUGACAUCUCAGACCGUAGGAAGGACCCAUGGACCCUUCCCAGGCUAAAAAGGAGCCUGGCCAAGGAUUAGAGAAGGUCCAAAGGAGUGUUUAAAAGCAAUUCCUAUUUUGAAAAGACUAACAGUAAGGAGUACAACUUCAACUUUAUUUUCCUGUGAUGGCAGUAGAGAUAUUUUUCUUCUGUCUUGCUAAGAUGUUCCAUGACAGAACCCACGGUCCUGAAUAACCUUAUGGCAACCUGAAAAGAAACAAAGAGUCCACCAUCAGACAGUUUUGUUGGCAUAGAUUAUUGUCUUUCAUACACUCCAUUAUAUACAUCUUCUUUUAGCUGAAAACAAAGAAUGUGGAACAAAACAGAAAAAAAUACAGACAUCUGUUACUAGUGGUGUAACAUAGCUAGAAAGUGAAGCAAACGUACAUUUAAAAGAAAAACAAUAAACUGG